UUAAGUUCAGCGGGUAGUCCUACUCGAUUUGAGGUCAAGUUGUCAGAGAGUGUCCGAAGACAGUUUAUGAAGCACAGAGCUCCCAAUCAGCCACCCUCUUGCGAGGCGCCGGCGAAGACACUUAUCACGCCGUACUAUGUCCAACCAGGAGGUGCACUAAUGCAUUUGAGGUGAGCCGCGCGCAGUAAGAGCUGCAGCAG
Molecule: unclassified non-coding RNA, 200 nt
Filed under: Sebacina sp.
Lineage: Eukaryota; Fungi; Basidiomycota; Agaricomycetes; Sebacinales; Sebacinaceae
Description: partial internal transcribed spacer 2
Source: RNAcentral